Podarcis lilfordi (Lilford's wall lizard) is the source of this 76-nucleotide non-coding RNA. The record is from the annotation of a GenBank genome assembly. Lineage: Eukaryota; Metazoa; Chordata; Lepidosauria; Squamata; Lacertidae.
UUUGGGAUAGCGAAGUCGGUAGAGCAUGGGACUCUUAAUCUCAGGGUUGUGGGUUCGAACCCCACAGUGGGCAAAA